Molecule: long non-coding RNA, 1162 nt
Organism: Aedes aegypti (yellow fever mosquito)
Lineage: Eukaryota; Metazoa; Arthropoda; Insecta; Diptera; Culicidae
Exons: 3
Source: RefSeq, a predicted model, not a curated record
UCACACUUAUUCUGAUUGGUUUAACAUAUAUUAACACCGUUUGUCAAAGAAAACAAAUUGAAGCCUUCAAGAAGUGACCUAACAAGUCAAUCCAUUUUAACCCAUAUUGAGCCACGUUCCCCUACUACAAUUGUGUGCCCAGAUACCUAUCGACCAAGCUGCUGCCACCAGAAACAAAGCAAAUUUCCCAUCACCAUCCGAGAACAACCAGGAGAAGAGCCCAUGGAUUAUGGUUUUGCGUACUAGUCGGUUUCGAUGAACCUUCUUCCGCUUCCGAAUUGGGUCUGGACUAUAACAACGACGUCGAUGAUGAUGAUGACGACGGUGGUGGUCUAUAUGCGAUACACAAAAUAGCUCAAACCCAUAAAUUCAUCUUUAUCGUUCAUUUGUGUGCUACUGUCGGCUGCCGUUACCUGUGUAAUCAUAUACAUAUUUAAUGCAGAUCUAUAAAUAAUUUAUUGCGUCUGAGAGCAAUUUUCAUUUUUGCUGCGUCCUGCCUAGUGCUUCGUCUCGCAUGUUUGUCUAGGACGAGGAGGAUCUCAAAGUGUGAACAAAAUGGGAACCAUCUACGGGAAAAACUACAGUGUUAUUGCUAUCCAUGAAAGCCGACGAACGAGCAAACGACAAAUCAACACCAAUGCUUGAUAUACACCGUUGAUCAGAAACAACAGUUGUUGUUACCAGCAAUGUGGUGAGCUUCGAUAUUACAGUCAUUGACGCAGUGUUGCAAAUGUUGAUUUUGGAAACAAACAUUUAUUCAAGUAAAAGAAGGGCCCUGUUGGUUAUACGAUAAAUCGUCGCUGUACCUUGCAUCGUGGGUUUACGAAAUUAUUUAUGUGGACAAAGUUAUUAGCGAAACAUAUGAAUUAAUAUAGAAAAAACCGUACAAAAGCCAAGUGUCCUUAGCACCCAUUUGCAGGCUGAGCCAUCAGAAUUAUUGGCAAAUUUAAAUUUCGGAUCACCCUAAAGAGUCACACUGUAUGUAAGAAUCGCAAACUUCAGCAAGAGCAUGUGAUUCAGCUCAAAGAAGCCGUUCUACUAGUGUUUCCUGAAACCUUUCCCCCUUUUCCAAAAUAGGAUUUGUGCUACCUGUUCUGCUAACUGCAUCGCAUAAUACGAAUUGAUUUAAUUUUCCACACUAGAUUAGUCGCAAGAUAUCGAA